RNAcentral lists this ribosomal RNA (5695 nucleotides) under Candidatus Nealsonbacteria bacterium CG02_land_8_20_14_3_00_40_11. Its description in RNAcentral is "23S ribosomal RNA". The stretch from base 1 to 2613 matches the Rfam family "Bacterial large subunit ribosomal RNA". The record is from RNAcentral. Lineage: Bacteria; Candidatus Nealsoniibacteriota.
GCCAAGAUUCUUAUAGGCGGAUGGUGGAUGCCUUGGGAGAUUGAGGCGAUGAAGGACGCGGCGUGACUGCGAUAAGCCUCGGGUAGGUGUCUAGCAACCUUUAAUCCGGGGAUUUCCGAAUGGGGAAACCCAUCUCGAUGAUAAAUCGGGAUAUCCCGCAGCAAUGCGGGAAGUGAACCCGCUGAAGUGAAACAUCCCAGUAAGCGGAGGAAAAAAUAACAAUCGUUUAUUCCCUUAGUAGCGGCGAGCGAAGAGGGAAGAGUCCAAACCUAUCAAUGCUUCGCAUUGGAAAUUCGAAAUUCGAAUAUCGAAAUUCGAAACAAUAUCUAAAUUAUAAUUCUCAAAAUUCAAAACGUGUUUCGGAUUUCGGAUUUCGUGCUUCGUGCUUCCACUGCGAAGCAGUGGUGGGGGUUGUAAGAAGUUAACGUCGGGAGCAUUGUUAAAUACAGCUCGAAGAGUUCGUAUUUAAUAAUGCUAUUCGAGGGAGAAAACCUAGGCGAAGUUUGUCCAGUAGAGCAACUUCGACAUCCCGCUGAAAGCGGGAUAAUACUGCGUAGCAGGUCGAAGAUGUCUUACUGGGUUUGGUUAAUCGAAACCUCCUGGAAAGGGGUACCAAAGAUGGUAAAAGUCCAGUAGAUGAAAAUCACUUCGUGCUCCUUGUUAUCUAUCUUGAGUACCUCGGGAAACGAAAACCCUGAGGGAACCAGGCCGGACUAACCGGCUAAGACUAAAUACUCAAUCUCACCGAUAGUGAACCAGUACCGUGAGGGAAAGGUGAAAAGUAGCCCGGUGAGGGCGGUGAAAUAGUACCUGAAACCAUCUGCUUACAAAAAGUCGGAGCCCGUCCGCAAGGAUUAGGGUGACGGCGUACUUUUUGGAGAACGAACCAACGAGUUCGAAUACAUAGCGAGUCUAAUCCCGUUUCGGGAGAUGGCGUAGCGAAAGCGAGUGUAAAAAGCGCGUUUUAGCUUUGUAUUUGAGACCCGAAGCCAAGCGAGCUUGCCAUGGACAGGGUGAACCCCGGAGAAAUCUGGGGGGAGGCCCGAACCCGUAGACCGUGCAAUAUCUUGGGAUGAUCUGCGGCAAGAAGAGAAAACCUAAACGAGCUUGGUAAUAGCUGGUUCUCCCCGAAAUAGCUUUGGGGCUUGCGGCGUCAUGUUGUUUUUCUGGAGGUAGAGCACUGAAUGGUUUAUUUUGAGUUUACUCAGAUGAACCAAUCAAACUCCGAAUGCCGGAAAAAUUAGACGCCAGUAGGACCAUGGGGGCUAAGCUCCGUGGUCAAAAGGGUAACAGCCCAGAUCUUCAUCUAAGGUCCCUAAACUAGGCUAAGUGUUUUUAAGGAAGUGAGAUUCCAUUGAUAGUUAGGAGGUUAGCUCAGAAGCAGCUAUCCUUUAAAAAGUGCGUAAUAGCUUACUAACUAAGGAGUCUUGCGCUAAAGAUUGCCGGGACUAAGCUUAGUACCGAAGAUAAGGAUGAGUACAUAUUUUUAUGUGCUCGUGGUAGGGGAGCGUCCCUAUUGCAGUGAAGUCAAACUGUAAGGUUUGAUGGAGCGAUAGGGAGUGAAAAUGUUGGUAUGAGUAACCGCAAUACCGCUGAAAAAGCGGUACACCGAAAGCCCAAGGUUUCCUUGGCAAUGUUUAUCAGCCAAGGGUUAGGCGAGCCUUAGUCCUAUUCCGAAAGGGAAGGAUGAUGGAUAGCCGGUUAAUAUUCCGGCCCGGCCGCAAAAUAAUCUUGAAGCGACGCAAUCAAAAUUUUUGGGAGGAUUAUUGGAUUUCCGAGGCAGGGAGCAAUCCCUGCCGCCUCAAAGACAAGGUUGCCAAGAAAAACUUCAAGUAUACUAUUUUGUUGCCUUCGUACCUCAAACUGACACAGGUGGGCUGGCGUAAAUGCGCCAAGGUGAACGGGUGAAACCUCGUUAAGGAACUCGGCAAAAAAGUGGUCGUACGUUCGCAAUAAGACCUACCCUAAAUCCGCAAGGGUUUGGGGUCGCAGCUAAAGUACCCUUGGCGACUGUUUAACAAAAACACAGGUCCCUGCUAAUUUGUAAAAAGAUGUAUAGGGGCUGAGUCCUGACCAGCGUCGGAACGUUAAAGGUGGCGGUCAUUGCCGCAAGGUGAUGGCUAACUGCCCGAAGCGCCGAUAAGCGUCCGCGGUAACUAUAACCGUGUUAAAGUAGCGUAACCCCUUGCCAGGUAAGUUCUGGCCCGCAUGAAAGGAUUAACGACUUGGGGACUGUCUCAACGAGGCGCCCGGUGAAAACACAAUACCGGUAAAGAUGCCGGUUACCUGCGGCUAGACGGAAAGACCCCGAGAGCUUUACUGUAGUCAGGCAUUGAGUUUUGGUAUUGGAUGCGUAGCGUAGCGGGCAGGCUUUGAAGUUCCGACUUCGGUCGGGAUGGAGCCGCCAAUGAAACACCCGUCUUUCAAAAUCUUUAUUCUAAUCCCGUUAAAAACGGGACACAGUGCUUGAUGGGCAGUUUAGGUGGGGCGCUUGCCUUAAUUUAUGGGGCCUCUAAAGAGUGAUCUUUAGAGCAAACUCGACUAAUAUGCUGGAACAUCCGAGUAUCCAAAAGUACUUAAUCUUGAUAAAGUUAAGUAAUAAUCUUUUGGUGCGGACAAUCAGCAGGGAAAUUGCUUUUUAAGCAAUACCUUCAACGACUGCACGUCGAGUCCCCGUGAGAUAUAGUACUUCUCAUGGGGUGGUGAUACAGUCUGAACUCUAUGGCGACAUAGAGAUCCGGUAGACGGUUAAUUAUAGCGUCCCUUAACCAAUCCGGAACUUAAGCUCAAAAGUUUAUGCGGAGUAAAGUAAUCGAAGAAUAUAAAAGUAGACUAUCUUUGAGUAAAAGACAGAAAGAAAUUCUGAUUGGACUUAUAUUGGGAGAUGGCCAUUUGGAAAAACUUUAUACUCCCAUAUUAGGAAGGUUAAAAGUAGAACACAGUUACAAACAGAAAGAUUAUGUAGAUUGGCUUUAUGACGAAUUUAGAAAUUGGGUAGGAAGUAAACCAAAAACAAGAAAAGUAAAUGUAUGGGGAAGAUUAAGGAAGAAUUACAGGUUUUCUACUUAUGGUCAUAGAAUUUUAGGAAAAUUCCAAGAAAGAUUUUAUGAAAGAAAGAAGAAAAUCGUCCCGAACGAUUUAGAGAAAGAUAUCACUCCUUUGGGAUUAGCGAUUUGGUAUAUGGAUGACGGAUCAAUUAAAUCGAGAAAACACAAGGGUUUAUUUUUAAACACCCAAGGAUUUAAAGAGGAUGAUGUGAAAAGACUUCAAGAUGUAUUGAAAAUUAAAUUCGGAAUUAAAAGCACCACAAAGAAAGAUAAAAAUGGAAAGCAAAUUUAUUUGGGAGGAAAAUCCGGAGAAAAGUUUAUUGCACUGAUAAAACCACACAUAAUUUCUUCGAUGAAAUAUAAAAUUCCAAGAGUUUUAAGGUUAACAGAAUUGCCUAAAGAGUAACGGAGGCGUUUAAAGGUCAGCUAGCUCCGGAUGGAAAUCGGAGCGGUCGUGUAAAGGCGCAAGCUGGCUUAACUGCAAGGCGUAUAUGCCGCGCAGUUGCGAAAGCAGAACUUAGUGAACCGACGGAUUUUAGUAGAAAAUCCGAAGAUCAUCAGCUAAAAGUUACCUCGGGGAUAACAGGCUAGUAGGGCCCGCGAGUCCAUAUCAACGGCCCUGUUCGGCACCUUAAUAUAUCGGGGUGCCAUAGUAGUAAUACUAUAAUCCUUAUAGCCUACUUAUGUUGUUUCAUAAGUUUAUUAAAGGAUAAAAAAUUGGCUUAUAACGGUGGACACCAUAUAAUAAAAUUCACGGCAGAAAUGUUAAAAUAAAUUAUAUGGUCAAUACCGUGGGAAGUUUAGCUCAAUUUCAAAAAUCACUAAUUAUUGGAACAAUAUUAGGUGAUGGAUAUUUACGUAUAGUUCCAGGAAGGAAAAAUGCCUUUCUGGAAAUAAAUCAUUCUUUUUCUCAAAAAGAAUAUGUUGAUUGGAAAUUUGAGAAAUUGAAAAACAUUUGUAAUUCUGGUCCAAUUGCAAGAAAAGGCAAUGGCAAUAGAAUUGCAUAUCGGUUUUAUACAAAACAAUAUCCAGAACUUACCGAAAUUUAUAAUAGUUUUUAUAAAAACGGGAAUAAAAUUGUUCCAGAUAAUUUAAAACUUGAUGCAGUGGCAUUAAGCGUGUGGUUUAUGGACGAUGGAAGUAAAUGCGGAAAAUCUAAUUUUUAUCUUAACACUCAACAAUUUAGUAAAAACUAUCAAAUAAAAUUAUUAAAUUGCUUGGGAAAACUAGAUCUAAAAGCGAAUUUAAAUAAAGAUAAAAAUUAUUACCGCAUAAGAUUUCUCAGCUCGUCCAGUAAUAAAUUAAAGGAAUUAUUAAAAGAAAAUUUAAUUCCUUCAAUGUAUUAUAAAAUUGGGUUAUAACCCCGUAGAGACUUGUUCUAAAAAAGAACAGAUAGAAAUUUAAAAAAUUUCUAUAACACGCCAACUCCAUUAGAAGCUCGGUAGGCGAAGAGAAUUUUAUUCUCUUCUUCACCUCAGCUAAAGCUUCGGUGGAAGAAGAUAUAGUCCGAUCCUCCAAGUAAUUGGAGAAAAAUACCGACAGCGAUGUCGGCUCAACACAUCCUGGGGGUGAAGUAGCUCCCAAGGGUCUGGCUGUUCGCCAGUUAAAGUGUUACGUGAGCUGGGUUCAAAUCGUCGUCUAGGCGACACUAUUCAGUAAUGAUUAGUGAAAAAACUGACUAAUAUCGGUGAAGUCCUUGCAUUACAAACUGUCGUAUGCUAGGAUAAUACCGAGGGAAGUCGUAAACCUUUAUACCUAUGAAUAAUCUUUCCAAUGUUCAGAAAUCAUACAUAGCAGGAUUUUUGGACGGAGAUGGCAGCAUUUACGUAAAGCUUACAAGAAACGAUACUUAUCGAUUUGGAUAUCAAGUAGCGCCAUAUAUAGUGUUUUAUCAAAGAAAAGAUUAUAAAGAUUAUUUUGAGACCCUAAGAAAAAUGUUGGGGAUAGGUUAUAUAAGAAUAAGAAAAGAUGGAAUUGUAGAAUAUAUUAUUGGAGAUCUUGAUUCAUUGAAAAAAUUCAUAAAUCAAAUUUCUCCAUAUAGUAGGUUGAAAAAAAGACAAUUCAGAUUAAUGUCAGAAAUUUUAGAGAAGAAAAGAACGGUAAAAACAGCGAAAGAUUUUAUUCGAUUAAGCAAACUGAUAGAUCAAUUUAAGAAUUUAAAUUAUUCUAAAAAAAGAUCUCAAACUUCUUAUUCUGUUGAAAAAUUAUUAAAAAAUAAGGGUUUAUUGACCCCGUAGAGACUUUCUGCCGCAGAGGCAGAGGAUGGAAGUUUUAAGCUUUCAUAAUACGUCAGUCACCUGUUAAAUAGUGCCAAUGGCAAUUUAACAGGUUGGUGAUAUAGUCCAUACACUUAGUAAUAGGUGACCAUUAUGCGUAAGACAGGUUGGUCCCUAUCUACCGCAGGCGUUGAGUCUUGAGGGGAGUUCUCCCUAGUACGAGAGGACCGGGAGGAACUGACCUCUGGUGUACCAGCUGUUCCGCCAGGAGCAUUGCUGGGUAGCUAACGUCGGGACCUGAUAAACGCUGAAAGCAUCUAAGCGUGAAGCAGACCCCAAGAUUAGGACUCUUAGAUUUCCCGGAGAUUACGGGAUUGAUAGACUACAGGUGUAAGUCCGGCAACGGAUUGAGCCGAGUAGCACUAAUAAAUC